GACGAACGCUGGCGGCGUGCUUAACACAUGCAAGUCGAACGGAAAGGCCCUGCUUUUGUGGGGUGCUCGAGUGGCGAACGGGUGAGUAACACGUGAGUAACCUACCCUUGACUUUGGGAUAACUUCAGGAAACUGGGGCUAAUACCGGAUAGGAGCUCCUGCUGCAUGGUGGGGGUUGGAAAGUUUCGGCGGUUGGGGAUGGACUCGCGGCUUAUCAGCUUGUUGGUGGGGUAGUGGCUUACCAAGGCUUUGACGGGUAGCCGGCCUGAGAGGGUGACCGGCCACAUUGGGACUGAGAUACGGCCCAGACUCCUACGGGAGGCAGCAGUGGGGAAUAUUGCACAAUGGGCGGAAGCCUGAUGCAGCAACGCCGCGUGCGGGAUGACGGCCUUCGGGUUGUAAACCGCUUUCGCCUGUGACGAAGCGUGAGCGACGGUAAUGGGUAAAGAAGCACCGGCUAACUACGUG
RNAcentral lists this ribosomal RNA (468 nucleotides) under uncultured bacterium. RNAcentral describes it as "partial 16S ribosomal RNA". It matches the Rfam family "Bacterial small subunit ribosomal RNA", at positions 28 to 507 of the family's 1533-position model. The record is from RNAcentral.